Molecule: ribosomal RNA, 497 nt
Filed under: uncultured bacterium
Lineage: Bacteria
Description: partial 16S ribosomal RNA
Rfam family: Bacterial small subunit ribosomal RNA
Source: RNAcentral
GAUGAACGCUGGCGGCGUGCCUAAUACAUGCAAGUCGAGCGAACAGACGAGGAGCUUGCUCCUCUGACGUUAGCGGCGGACGGGUGAGUAACACGUGGAUAACCUACCUAUAAGACUGGGAUAACUUCGGGAAACCGGAGCUAAUACCGGAUAACAUGUUGAACCGCAUGGUUUAACAGUGAAAGACGGUCUUGCUGUCACUUAUAGAUGGAUCCGCGCCGCAUUAGCUAGUUGGUAAGGUAACGGCUUACCAAGGCAACGAUGCGUAGCCGACCUGAGAGGGUCGACGGCCACACUGGAAGUGAGACACGGCCCAGACUCCUACGGGAGGCAGCAGUAGGGAAUCUUCCGCAAUGGGCGAAAGCCUGACGGAGCAACGCCGCGUGAGUGAAGAAGGUCUUCGGAUCGUAAAACUCUGUUAUUAGGGAAGAACAAAUGUGUAAGUAACUAUGCACGUCUUGACGGUACCUAAUCAGAAAGCCACGGCUAACUACGUG